GGCUGGUCAGAGUGCACUGGUGUUUACAACUAAUUUAUCACAGCCGAUUACAGAUUUGCUCAUUCCUGCCCCGCUCCCACCGCUUUGCUUGACUGAUCUAGA
Molecule: unclassified non-coding RNA, 102 nt
Organism: Pteropus vampyrus (large flying fox)
Lineage: Eukaryota; Metazoa; Chordata; Mammalia; Chiroptera; Pteropodidae
Rfam family: Y RNA
About the family: Y RNAs are components of the Ro ribonucleoprotein particle (Ro RNP), in association with Ro60 and La proteins. The Y RNAs and Ro60 and La proteins are well conserved, but the function of the Ro RNP is not known.
Source: Ensembl